Molecule: long non-coding RNA, 293 nt
Filed under: Elaeis guineensis (African oil palm)
Lineage: Eukaryota; Viridiplantae; Streptophyta; Magnoliopsida; Arecales; Arecaceae
Description: long non-coding RNA (EGUI_LNC033519)
Source: RNAcentral
AAGCUGGAGACAUUUGUGCAUCAAUAUUACCAUAAAUCCACAUAUUUGGUAGUAUACAAUCAUGCGAUCCAUUUAGUGCCAAGCCAGGAAGAAUGGGAGAAAAUAGAAUAUGCUGACAUUUAUCCCUCUAUAGUGAGGAAAUCAGCAGGCAGAUCCAAAAAAAAGAGGAUUAGAAGUGCUGAUGAAGGAAAAAAUCCCUUCAGGGUACCAAGGGUUAGUAAACCAGUACUUUAUGGUAAUUGUGGCCAAGAAGGCCACAAUGUGAGAGAUUGUAAAGCAGCUGUUAUUGGUGA